AUUUCUUGCUGGCGAGGAAUACAGAGAGCGCGCGGGACAUAUGGUGCCGAAACCCGGGAAGCUUAACAUCUCCAGCACCUCAGAGACCCCUCUAACGAGGCGGAUUCAGAACUGCAGGGUGGUAAAUUCGGAGAGGUAUGAUUUUUCUGGACUUUGGCUUGGGAAUGUUGCUAUUGUGGGAGGUUAAUAUAGAGGCUUCUAUGCUUUUACUAGGAGCUAUUUUGAUUUUUCUCACUGUUAUAGCAAUCUUAAAGAAGUCCAAAAUUACAUAUCAGAAACCGAAUGUAGUGAGAGAUGGGGCGCGCCUAACAAUAAAAUAUAAGAAAAAAGGACCUCCCGGGAUGUCUAGUGACAUGGGAGUGUAUAUAAGAAAAAAAACUACAACAAAUAAGAAAAAAAGACCUCCUGGAAUGUCUACUGACAAGGGAGUGUAUAAAGCUUUAAAUCUUAAUAGCUCUGAUAACUCUAAAAGCUCAAGAGAUAAAGUUUUAAAAGAAACAGCUCAGCUAGAUGAGGGAGAGACAAAAAAGGAGGGAGAAAGAAUGGGGAAUGGCCGGUCACACCCCGGUAAAUUUAGAAGCUGCCCUACAACGAAACUGGAAGCCUUGGAGCUGAGCAGCUCAGACUCUGAGAUUUUAGACUCUAACAAGGAAGCAGAGCUAGAAAAAGAAGCAGCACGGCCAAAAAUGCCAGCGGGUGUGCUUCCAUCAGCACCCCCACUAUUUGGAACCGACUCCUUCUUACCAUCAGAGGAGCAAAGAAAAUUACAGAUGGCUUUCCCAGUCUUUGAUAGGGGAAAAGGCCAUGCCUGCUAUUCAACACUUCUUAAAGGCCUGGAAUGCCUGGGGCUUUAAAGCCUCAUUUACAUUAACGCUGGGGGCCAUACCGAGGCCAAGCGUCUCACCUCAAAAACUAAAAGGCCAAAAGGAAAUGGUAAAAUGGAAAGAUAUCUUAACUGAUUUUUGGAAAGGCCCGGAUCCUAUUCUCAUAAGAUCCAGGGGAGCGAUAUUAUGUUUUCUCACAGGAUGAAGAGAAU
This 1036-nucleotide long non-coding RNA is filed under the name Cricetulus griseus (Chinese hamster). RNAcentral's name for it is "lncRNA (ENSCGRG00015036515.1)". The record is from RNAcentral. Lineage: Eukaryota; Metazoa; Chordata; Mammalia; Rodentia; Cricetidae.